This 359-nucleotide ribosomal RNA is filed under the name Acanthamoeba castellanii. Its description in RNAcentral is "SSU rRNA". It matches the Rfam family "Eukaryotic small subunit ribosomal RNA", at positions 782 to 1094 of the family's 1831-position model. The record is from RNAcentral. Lineage: Eukaryota; Discosea; Longamoebia; Acanthamoebidae.
AGAUCCAUUCUCUGCCACCGAAUACAUUAGCAUGGGAUAAUGGAAUAGGACCCUGUCCUCCUAUUUUCAGUUGGUUUUGGCAGCGCGAGGACUAGGGUAAUGAUUAAUAGGGAUAGUUGGGGGCAUUAAUAUUUAAUUGUCAGAGGUGAAAUUCUUGGAUUUAUGAAAGAUUAACUUCUGCGAAAGCAUCUGCCAAGGAUGUUUUCAUUAAUCAAGAACGAAAGUUAGGGGAUCGAAGACGAUCAGAUACCGUCGUAGUCUUAACCAUAAACGAUGCCGACCAGCGAUUAGGAGACGUUGAAUACAAAACACCACCAUCGGUGCGGCUGUUCUUGGCGUCGGUUUCGGCCGGCGCGGGG